Camellia sinensis is the source of this 753-nucleotide non-coding RNA. Lineage: Eukaryota; Viridiplantae; Streptophyta; Magnoliopsida; Ericales; Theaceae. The record is from RefSeq and is a predicted model, not a curated record.
AUGUUAUGCCCUAAUCCUUCGAAAACAAACACACCCUCGGACUCUCUCCUAAAGCGACGCAACAACAGAAGAGAAGGGUCCAAUUCCAAUACUCCAAUAGGCACCGUUCCUAGUUGAAAAAUGAAAGAUUUUUGAUUUUGUGUCUUCAUCUCUCUGAAAAUGGAAGAUCAAAUGUGCUUCGACUAUCUUCAACGUCGAAUUCGCUCCAAUUUCUCUGAUAAUCUCACUUUUCCAAUGCCAUCUCCGAUUCUUCCUUUCCUUUCGCCUCCACCGUCGUCGUUCAGAUGUCAAAUUCUAGUAGCGAGGCUUCAUCUGAGUUCAUAUUGGUGUAUCUACCUAGUGGCUAAUACGAUUGCUUGACAGAAUACAUUGAUGAGCAUUGUCCGGAAGAUCUUCAAGGUAAACACAAUGGUGAGAGUGGUGACACAAUUGCAUCAGUGAUUGAUCAAGAUCAAACUUGUUCACUAGACACUACAUUGAAGGAAAUCCAGUCCACUGGUGGUAGAAGAACAUUCCUGGAUGGGUUCGGAUGCAAAAAUUCGACUUGUAACUUUGCCAGUCGAUUUUCUUGCUUUAGGACAAUCACUUCCUUGGCUCCAAUUGCUCAGGUUGGCAUUUCAUCUUACUCCUUGUCUGAAGAGCUUGCUUCUAACUAUUUUUCUAGGUUUGCUGAAGGCCACGUAUUGAGCUCACUUGCUCUUCUGAUUGAAGGAAAAGCAACAGGACGAGAUAGUAUAAAUCUUCUUAGUUUAA